RNAcentral lists this ribosomal RNA (274 nucleotides) under uncultured bacterium. RNAcentral describes it as "partial 16S ribosomal RNA". It matches the Rfam family "Bacterial small subunit ribosomal RNA", at positions 523 to 796 of the family's 1533-position model. The record is from RNAcentral.
AUACGGAGGGGGCAAGCGUUAUUCGGAAUCACUGGGCGUAAAGGAUGCGUAGGCUGGAUGUCAAGUUGGAAGUGAAAUCCUAUGGCUUAACCAUAGAACUGCUUCCAAAACUGGCAACCUAGAGUGAGGGAGAGGCAGAUGGAAUUAGUGGUGUAGGGGUAAAAUCCGUAGAUAUCACUAGGAAUACCGAUUGCGAAGGCGAUCUGCUAGAACUCUACUGACGCUAAGGCAUGAAAGCGUGGGGAGCAAACAGGAUUAGAAACCCCAGUAGUCC